Molecule: non-coding RNA, 1308 nt
Organism: Zonotrichia albicollis (white-throated sparrow)
Lineage: Eukaryota; Metazoa; Chordata; Aves; Passeriformes; Passerellidae
Source: RefSeq, a predicted model, not a curated record
GGCCCUGUGAACACUGAGAUGGAGCAGAGCAGCACUGGGAAUGGGGAUUCCGCUCAAGCUGCUCCAGGCUGGCUCUCCAGCUCCACAUUUUGGGUGGGAAAACAACAAAAAACCCAUCCCAAGGUUCCACGAUUUGGGUGUGAAAACAACAAAAAAAAACAUCCCAAGGUUCCACGAUUUGGGUGUGAAAACAACAAAAAAACCCAUCCCAAGGUUCCACAUUUUGGGUGUGAAAACAACAAAAAACCCAUCCCAAGGCUCCAUGAUUUGGGUGUGAAAACAAAAUAAAAAACCCCUACCCAAGGCUCCACAUUUUGGGUGUGAAAACAAAAUAAAAAACCCAUCUCAAGGCUCCAUAUUUUAGGUGUAAAAACAACAAAAGAAACCCUACCCAAGGCUCUACAUUUUGGGUGUGAAAACAAAAUAAAAAACCCCUACCCAAGGCUCCACAAUUUGGGUGUGAAAACAAAAUAAAAAACCCAUCCCAAGGUUCCAUAUUUUGGGUGUGAAAACAACAAAAAAAAAAAACAUCCCAAGGCUCCACAUUUUGGGUGUAAAAAUAACAAAAAACCCAUCCCAAGGUUCCACGAUUUGGGUGUGAAAACAAAAUAAAAAGCCCAUCCCAAGGUUCCACAUUUUGGGUGUAAAAACAACAAAAAACCCAUCCCAAGGUUCCACGAUUUGGGUGUGAAAACAAAAUAAAAAACCCAUCUCAAGGUUCCACGUUUUGGGUGUGAAAAACAACAAAAAAAAACCCUACCCAAGGCUCUACUAUUUGGGUGUAAAAACAACAACAAAAAAAAAAAACAUCCCAAGGUUCCACAAUUUGGGUGUAAAAAUAACAAAAAACCCAUCCCAAGGUUCCACGUUUUGGGUGUGAAAACAACAAAAAAAACCCAUCUCAAGGUUCCAUGAUUUGGGUGUGAAAACAACAAAAAACCCAUCCCAAGGUUCCACGUUUUGGGUGUGAAAACAACAAAAAAAACCCAUCUCAAGGCUCCACAUUUUGGGUGUAAAAAUAACAAAAAAAAAAAACCCUACCCAAGGCUCUACAUUUUGGGUGUGAAAACAAAAUAAAAAACCCAUCUCAAGGUUCCACAUUUUGGGUGUAAAAACAAAAUAAAAAACCCAUCUCAAGGUUCCACAGUUUGGGUGUGAAAACAAAAUAAAAAACCCAUCCCAAGGUUCCACGAUUUGGGUGUGAAAAUAACAAAAAACCCAUCCCAAGGUUCCACAAUUUGGGUGUAAAAACAACAAAAAAACCCUACCCAAGGUUCCACAAUUUGGGUGUAAAAACAAAAUAAAAAA